GCCGGAGCCAGGGCGCCCGCUCGCAGGUGAAAGGGCAGCUGCGACUUGCCUUUUCUUCCCAAUCCAAAUGCAGCUUGCAAUCCAGAGCUGGAAGACUGGGAAAGGGAGGCGGAAUGCCACCUGUGCCUGCACCACACUGCUACUGGCUAGUCACCCCACGGGGACAGCCAUGGGGACAGCUGUGCAGUCUGGACGCAGUGACCCAGGGCUGACCUUGCAGAAGACAGGGAAGCUCUGGCACAGCAGAGGCAAUGGUGUGAAUGGACAGAGAUCAUCCAUGAGGAGGAAGAAGUAACCCCCCUCAGGGAGGACCUGGCUGCCCUGCACCAGCCUCUACCAUGACAGCCUCCUAGGCUGGCGCCUGGACCUGCCCUACUGGGGUGGCCGUGGAGGGUUCACCAGGUCCCCAGCACCUGGGCUCUGCCCCAUCUACCGUGAGUGAGGGUCAGAGGCUGGGCUGUCUGUGG
Long non-coding RNA from Heterocephalus glaber (naked mole-rat), 467 nucleotides. NCBI's taxonomy places the organism in Eukaryota, Metazoa, Chordata, Mammalia, Rodentia, Bathyergidae. The record is from Ensembl.